AGCUUAAAAUAGCGUGUCAUCCAGCGGAAGCUUUAACUUCCGGUUAGACGCGUCACACAGAGCGCAGGACCGUUAAUUAGUCAACAGGUGACAGUCUGACUGACACGACACUGUCAAACGGAUUGCGACGGAUUCUUCACCGAUGAAUGUUGUUGAGGACUAUGGUAUCACCGAAGUUUUGAAAGCAACUUUUCUCUGCGCAAGUCACCGUUAGGAUGCAGGGGUAACACAUAACAACAUGUGCGAAACACACACCUUGCAGCUGAUUUUUGGUCUGUCCGGUCCAGCAACAUAUAGAAAAGGUAGCUCUUUGAGGCGUGGCAGGGAGCUGGAGAGGAGGCCGACGAUGAACGGUGUCGGGGUGCAGACGAUGUCCAACAUGGAAGGUGGGAGCACAGGGAUAUACGUAUGCUGCCAGGUGAAUGGGUAGAGGAGAGCCACGACUGCAUGACAACACUGGGACAAAGUGCUGCAAAAAAGAGAAAAUUUAAAGUUUUCCCUCGACUGAUGCAAAGAAGUGAAUUAUGCAGCCAGAUCUGCUGUGAAGUUCUUCAGCACCAGGGGAUUUCACAGAAGGCAACGUGCCUUGACUGGGGUUAGGUUUUGGAGACAUGUUUGCUUGAAUCCCAAUGAAGUAGGAAAGGAAAGCUGGAUGGUAUAGGUCAGGAUGUAUGGAGAGGAGGAGGGAAAAAGUGGGCUGGGCAAAUAAACAAUGGAAUUUUAUCAGGGCUCAGCAGUCUCCUCUUUUUUUCUCCCUGUUUCUGGGUCCUGUUCAGGGCCCCCGCUGCUUUCCCAAGCUGAUUUCAUAGCAAGGCCUUGGACGUGAGCCAGAGAGGACAGCUUCACAAGAGUGUGUGCCAGCAUCUGUGUGUGUAUUUACUACGGAAAUGUGAUUGACACCAAUGUAGUGAGCAACUUAUUUACUAUCAGUGGGUUGAGAAGCUAUUUUAGUCUUUCAAAUAUAUAUUGACUUCUAACUUCUAACUCACCACACACUAACAAACACACUCCGACCUUCGGUUUGUCGUUUUUCACCUCUGCAAAUUUUCUCCCGGUCUAUUGUUUGUGAGAAGAGGAUGGAUACGAGACGGCAUUGAAAUUGUGCAACGGGAACAGAAGAAGAAAUAAUGCAAACAAUCAAUUUCCACCAUUUAUUUUUUCUUUUCUUGUCAGGAUUAUUAGUCAAGUUUAUAUAUAGUUCUGCCGUCCAUUGUUAUAUUUCUAGGGCCACACAUAGAGACACUUCUUGUUCUUAUAAUUGUCAUUUACAGCCAGACAUUUGACGGCCCGGGUGUCUACAUACUAUCCAACUGGGACGUGCAAGAACAGACCACAUUUUUAAUCUAGAAACAAAUUUGAAUUAUAAAAAGGGGCCGCAGAGAAAAACCAGUGUGUAAUUACAUUGCACAAUAAGAACCCAUAAAUAAGAGGGCUUAUUAUGUACUGGAAGAAUAGUUGCUCUCUGAGUCUGUGUGCAUGUCCAGGAUGUGUGAUGUGACUGACUGAGGAACUAUGGGUGUCCUCCGCUGCCUGAAAUGAAGUCAUCAGACUUUUGCACAGUAACUUGGGAAUUCACCCUUUGCUGUGCUACUCCGAGUCCACGCUUGGAUUAAUGUGACAGUUCUGAUUACACCACAAGGUCAAAGUCACAGGAAAGGGACGGGGAAAACUACAUUCACACUCAGCAAAAUCUUCCUAAAAGGCCUCCUUACUUUUAACCACCUGUCAAAAUGUACAAAUGACCACCCUGGAACAGUUUAACCACAGGCUUUUAAUGGGGGAGGUCUCAUUUUCCCUCUUGAGUUUGUGGCUUCCUAUUCCACGUUCCAGUGACUGCAAAUGGUCCAGCUUCAAAGUAAUAAAGCAUUUUACAUGUCAACAUAAUCCCAAAUACAAAUUAAGAGCCACGGGCCGCUAAAGGGAGCUAAUUGUCUACAAUAAAAAGGUUAAAAGCUAAUGUAAUAGACCAAGUUAGUGAGAUAGUAUGCAUCUAUUUUUACACCGACUUAAGUCGAAGUCACUUCUUACCAAAAAUCCCUUAAUGAUGAUGAUAAAUCUUUGUUUGUAUGUUAGGGAGCUACUUUGAAGGAAAAGCAAGCAAACAAACCUCUCCCUGCCCCUCCAUCUGGGAAACGGUGUCACGUUUCCUUGUCUUGCAGAGGUGGAGCAUCUGUCCUCCCCUUCUCUCCUAGAGACAUGUCAUGUCUUCUACACCAACAUUAAGCUACCGUCAGCAGAGCUCCUGACUCAUCUGCAGCCUGGUCUCAAUUAUCCCCCUGGCUUACCAGCGUGAGGGUUCAUGCCAAGUCUUCCGAGAAAACCUGCUUUUAAAGAACUCUCACUUUGGCUUACAGUCGAUCACCUCAUCCAACAUCACAUCUGCCAAGUCCAACACUGAAGUAGAAACAUCCAGCCUGACUCCAGCCAACCCUGAAAGAUUAGGUGUAACUAGAGGCCUCAAUAUUCACCCAACAGCACUGGAUGCCACAUACAGUAAGACUGAACCUGCUUCAACAGUAUAUUCAAACAUACAGGACUUCUACUACUACUGUACUGUCCAAACCUUUGAUUUGUUGCAGUGCAACACUGUGUGUUUGGGCUACAUACUCAGUCGCCUUUUCCCAAUUAUUUUGGGGAGAUACUAUGUAAAGUAUUAUUGUUUAUAGAUCUACACUACAGAAGAGCAGUGGUUCCCAAACUUUUUUGGCCUCUGACUCCAUCUUGACAUCACAAUUUUCUGGCGAGCGCAGAGACAUUUUAGUAGCUGUCACUUGUGCAGUCAUAGGAUCGCAGCCAUUAAUCAAGACGCACCAGCUCAGAUAUUUUAAGCAUAAAAUAAGGUUGCCAUGGAGCUUUAUGAAACCUGAAUGAACACUAUUACAUUUAGAAGUCUUAAACCAAUUUUAAAGCUUAUAAUAAAAAAGCUGUUGUGUUAUUUAAAGAAUAAGUGAAAAUUACCAGUUUUUUCCACAUCUCUUUCAUAUUGUGUAGUGGUAGUUUUAAGCCUUGAAAAUAUUUGAUAUUGCUCAUUUAAAGUAUGAAAGACACAUUUAAGGGAUCGUCUGUCACAGGGUAUGAUCAGAACUAAUUGGACUACAGCUGUGGGGACCCUUGAUAAAGAGAAAACUAGAAAAGGAAAUACUAUAAAGAGUUGUCUUAAAUACAUUCUAGGAUGGUCUGUAUUCAUGAGCACAGCUCCCUUAACAGGCAUUUCAACGGCUAGGUUUCUGCAUUUCAAACUUUUGUUUGGUUUUUGCUGCCAUUCAAGCUAACAUAGACACCACUGGAACCACAACAGCCAGAAGUUCUGCUUCAUUAUAUUCUUAUAAACCAGACAACUAAACACCAUGGUCUCAUUUGACAGAGCUGAGGCCUUGGAUGUACCUGCAGUUAAUCCACUGUGGUUUCCGUCUACAUAAAUCAUCACUGACACAGUAAAUAAGGCUAUAGAAAGCUUGCCAGAAAAAAAGUCAUAAACUCUUCCUUUAAAAAUCAGCCUUGCUUUUUGAGAGUGUGUGCAGUGAUGAAACCAAAUAGAUCCCACAAAAGCCUGAGGUCAGACAAAAAAGUGCGCAAUCAACUUCUGUCCUUAAGCAACAGUGGAAAUAAAUGGAAGUUACAGACAAGUUAGGAAAUGUCAGUGAAUGCACCAUUUUUCCAAGCGAUAAUAGCGCUCCCCGGGGUCGGGCAGUUAUCUGAUAUUUCUCUGUGCUGACACUUUACGUGGGAUUUUCUACCAUAAUGCAAAACCUUCUUCACUAAACACAGACACAGACGCAGUGAUUGUGCUGCGUUGAAUGGAACUGGGAGUGGAUAUUUUCAACAAUAACCUUGUGAUCGCUAACAUACUUCUGUGGGCCCCAGAUCAAAUUUCUCUUCCAAGCCGCGGUCUCUUAGUUCAACUUUAAUUCUUAAACACUCUCUCCGCCCAUUCCCUGUCUCCACCUACUCAAUUUAAGGGUUCUGUGCAGUGAUUCUCACUAGAACACUCCUAUUCCAUCAAACCCUGUUCUGGUUCUCUCUAAGCCUGCAGAGGAACACAGUUUUAUUAUUCAUCAAUCCCCACAGGAGCCAGGCGAGGCGAGAGCUUGGGAAAGUUCUCUUCCGGAGUAUAAACUCCCCAGUCUAGGUCACAGCUGACUUUUCUGACCUACACACACCCUGUGACCAACAACUGUAAACCUGAGCCAAGAAAACCAGUAGAUGGAGGAAAAACCAGUGUAACUGACCUGUACUUUAACUCAAGCAAGCUAAAGAAAACUGUUCCAAAAGAUUUCAGAACUAACUGAGGUGGAAUAUGUUUUCUAGAGAUGAAACAAUAGUUAACAGAUUGUAGUUUGUAGAUUGAAUUGGGUUUGACUGCAGUACUCCAUCUUAUGCUCUUUCAUCUUCUUUAUAUAUAUUUAUUAUGUUACAUACAUAUAUUUUGAUGUAUUUACAGUAAGCUUGAAUCUCAUUCUGACUUGAAGUGGUUGAAGGUUAAAUAUUUGAUUUAAAAAUGUUGCACAAACAUGCAUGUAGCUCCUUUUUGUCCCCUCCAGGGGCCAUCUACCUACAACACACCUCAAGAAAAUAUGAAAUACUUAAACCGAUUUCAAAUUCUUAUAUAUAUGGUAUUGUCUAUAAAAUCAUUUACUAAUUUAAUUACAAUAGAAAGGGAAAGGGCCUAUUGUUGCAAAUGAACGCACCAUUAUACACUCCUAGUGUCAUUAAGUAAAUAUAAGAAGUAAAAAGCUUUAUUUUCUUAUGUUGGAAUUAUCUUGGUAUUUUCUUGGGAUUAGGUAUUCAUAUAAAUAUGGAAAAAAGAACGAAACAUCUUUGCAUUUUACUGUGAAUCAUUGAAUCCCUUAAAUGACAGGUGAAUGGCAUUCUUGUCAUUCUUUAGAAAAGAUUAGAUAAGAGGCCAUGACAAGACAAGGUAAACUGAGUAGAGAGGAUAAGAGAGAGGAGGGGGAGGAGAUGGAAGAAGAAGAAAGAAAAGGGGACAAGAGUGGAAAAAGGAAGAGGAAAUGAGUGGAGAAGAGAGAAGAGGACACAUUCUGUUGAUUGUAACUGGAGCAACACUAUGCUAAUAAUUUAGCAUAAUAAUAAUAACUAUAACUAUAACUUAAAUAAUAACUAUUUAAUUUGUCUCAUCAGCUCCUUAAAAAAAGAAAACUCUUCUGAAUAAAUAUAUUUGAAAACUAAGAAUAUUCAAAGCCCUGGUCAACAAAUCCAUGCCGUUGGCUAAUUGGUCCAGUUCUCUGAAGUUGAAGUGUAUUUGCCUCUAUUUCUCUACAAACACUUCAAAACCACACAACAGGAGAAGGAUUCCACAUAUGUAAAUGUUCUACUCGAAAAGAGUCACAGCAGCCAUG
Cynoglossus semilaevis (tongue sole) is the source of this 5357-nucleotide long non-coding RNA. RefSeq lists it as uncharacterized. The record is from RefSeq and is a predicted model, not a curated record. NCBI's taxonomy places the organism in Eukaryota, Metazoa, Chordata, Actinopteri, Pleuronectiformes, Cynoglossidae. The transcript has 4 exons.